This 495-nucleotide ribosomal RNA is filed under the name uncultured bacterium. RNAcentral's name for it is "partial 16S ribosomal RNA". It matches the Rfam family "Bacterial small subunit ribosomal RNA", at positions 30 to 507 of the family's 1533-position model. The record is from RNAcentral.
UGAACGCUGGCGGCGUGCCUAAUACAUGCAAGUCGAGCGAACAGACGAGGAGCUUGCUCCUCUGACGUUAGCGGCGGACGGGUGAGUAACACGUGGAUAACCUACCUAUAAGACUGGGAUAACUUCGGGAAACCGGAGCUAAUACCGGAUAAUAUAUUGAACCGCAUGGUUCACUAGUGAAAGACGGUUUUGCUGUCACUUAUAGAUGGAUCCGCGCCGCAUUAGCUAGUUGGUAAGGUAACGGCUUACCAAGGCGACGAUGCGUAGCCGACCUGAGAGGGUGAUCGGCCACACUGGAACUGAGACACGGUCCAGACUCCUACGGGAGGCAGCAGUAGGGAAUCUUCCGCAAAGGGCGAAAGCCUGACGGAGCAACGCCGCGUGAGUGAUGAAGGUCUUCGGAUCGUAAAACUCUGUUAUUAGGGAAGAACAAAUGUGUAAGUAACUAUGCACGUCUUGACGGUACCUAAUCAGAAAGCCACGGCUAACUACGUG